Long non-coding RNA from Helianthus annuus (common sunflower), 3185 nucleotides. RefSeq lists it as uncharacterized. The record is from RefSeq and is a predicted model, not a curated record. The transcript is spliced from 3 exons. Lineage: Eukaryota; Viridiplantae; Streptophyta; Magnoliopsida; Asterales; Asteraceae.
GGGGGAAGUAUUGUUACGUGAAGAACAAUAGUUUAGGGGUAUUUUACUAAUUAUUAGUAGUUUAGGGAGUCUAAUGUGAUUGUUUGGGUUAUUUACUUAUUUAUGUACGUAAUAUGAAGGAAGGAAAUCAGAUUUGAAGUUUGAAAUUCUCCUAUCUUCUCCAAAUAUUCUCCUAGUUCUUCUCUUUUAGGGUUUAACCCUAUCACACUUAGGUUAUUUUUAUUCUGUCUAUAUUGAAGUCCUCUGUUUUGAUCUUCCUUCAACAUUUUUUUUUCCAGAUUUUACAACGAGGAUUCUGAUCAAGGGUUCCGGUGACCAUUCAAGAAUGUUUGAUAGGGCCAGAAGGAGCAGUUUGCAGAGGUUAUACAAUGCAGUUGUUUACGGUUCUGGUCAUACCAAAUUUUGGGUGGACAACUGUUUUACACCCCACGUCCUCCCCUUAAUUUCGCAAAAAAAAAAAAAAAAAAAAAAAAAAAAAACUGCACCUUCCUGUUAUAAACUCCCCACCAUCACCACCGCUCUCCCUAAUUGCCAUCCACUUCCCCGUCGUCAUCAUCAACGCCGAGUUCCGAGUCGGUGGCAAGAGUUGCUUUGGUUCACAACAGGUUGAUGGACGACAAACCUAUUUGUUUUAUCAUUUUCCUAAUGCAAUUGCUACUAUAAGAAGAUGAAAUUGAGAUGGAAGACAAACCUAAAGAGGAACAGGUAACCGAGAUGGAUUGAAAUCAGCCGGGGACAACAUGUAAGAGGGUCCUGUUUAUAUUCUCCGACCUCUCUCUUUGUUCUUCUGACUAAAAUUUUAAAUUAUUUGUUUUACUGAAAUUGGAUUCAUGUGUUUUGUUGAAUGAGUCCUAUUCAGUGGGAAGAAAAUUGAAAUAUAUGAAACAAAAAACAACCAUGAAGAACCAACAAGCUUCAAGAAACAUUAUAUCUAAAAGAUCCACACUUUUCUUGUGUAUCUGUAUUUUUGUGUUGGAUUACUCUUCACCAAAAGGUACAUACACGGUCUUAGUACUUUAUAUUACAAGUUUGAUUCUUUUGUUUUUAGAUAUUAAAGAGAUGCAUGCCAACUGUUUGAUUUUAUUCCUUUGAGAAAAAAAAAAUGCAGGGAAAUUGAGCGAUUUUUGGAGUUCUCUAUACAGUUUUGCAGGUGCCAUAUUUGGUCUAUGAUUUUGAAGAUUCAGUUUUGUUUGUGGUUUAUGAUUUUGCAUGUUCAGAAGAAGCUUUAGCGGUUUUUUUUUUUUUUAUCAAACUCACGGUUACCACAAAACUUCAUCUAGGUUUGUUUCUAUUUUAUCUUCAUCCGAAGUUUUAGCGGUAUUAUUUUAUUUAGGAUUUAGAGUUUAUGUUGAGUGAUUUGUAGUGACCAACACCUGUUCGAUGUUAGCGUCAAAAUUGCCAUUCACGGGUACACCGCUGCUGGUGGCGCGAGUUCUGGUUGGUGGGUUGUCAACAAAAGUGGAGCAUAUUGAGGAAUGAUUGUUCAACCAUCAGAGGGUAUGCAAUUUCAUUUAAGAAGUUGUUUAUCAUAGAUCAUGAAUGGUCAUCAAAGGUAUUCAUAGUCUUGUAGCAUAUGUGGAAUUUAAAAAAAUUAAGUAGGCUUAGAUUCUAAUCUUGUAUAAUUUAGCAAGAAUCCCUUAUUAAAAGUUUUUGAUUUCUUUUAUUGUAGUUCAUGCUUUGUAGUGUUCAAAGAAGGGUUAAUUGAUCAGUCAUCACGGGUUCUUUUUUUGUGGUUCAUGCUUACAUAUGAAAUGGAAGCAAUUCUGGGUUUUAGUUCCGCUUGCGAAGUAACACUACGUUUCUGGCUGUUCAAUAAAAGGCAUUGCUCAAGACACACAAUGUUUAUCUGAUCUCUAAGUAAUAUAGUUUUUAUUUAGAGUGUUAAUGUAUAAUCUUAGUUGAAAAGGAGAAGAACAGUAGCAAAAAGUUCUUACCAGUAGCAGUUUUCAACAAGUCUUCUUUCUGAUAAGUCUUUAACCUUAAUUUAGAUCAAAUAAAUUUGUAUACUUUCUCUAUCAUCUCUCUUUUAUGCCUACCAGGUGUUGGUGUUUGCUGAAAUACCUGAGUGAGUGUUAAUCACAUAAUGGUCUUCCCUUUUUAAUAAAGACAAUGUCAUGUAGAUACUUUUUUGCCUAGAACAAUAAAGCUUGUACAAGUUGCAACUGCUAGAGGUAAUCAGGUUGCUAUUAAGAUGCUUUUUCCUUUAUCAUCUCAAGUGGAAACUAAAGGAAUGCAUAUUCAUUAAUCCAUAAUUCUUUCUUGAUGUCAUGAGCCGACAGUAAUCCAGCUAAAAUCGUUUAUAUGUUUCCUAUUCGCAGAUAGUGCUAGAUCGACUUUCUCUUGUGGAGCUUAAUGUAUGAUGGAGAUCACUUCUUGAUGUCGGUAGUAGGGUCGCCCGGAUCGUAACCCGCUUAUGACCCGCCUCAUGGUGGCAGUCCAGGGGCAUAACUUUAGUCUGGGAGCAGAUGGGGAUGGAAUUAGAGGGAUCCAUUGAGUUUUCGGUUAAAAGCAUUCGGGACAAAGCUUAGUGCCUCGCUUUCAUAGACUUUGCCUUCAAGUUAGAGUGCAAAAACUGGGCAUUAUGGUUGAUUUUCUGAUUUGGAGGAUCGUUCAAGACAAACUCCCAACAACUACGGCUCUAGCAAGGAGGAACAUUUUUGUGCUUAAUACUCGGUGCAAGAUGUGCGAAGAUGAGGACGAAUCGGCCUUGCAUCUGUUUGUUUCAUGUCGCAUAGCGGUACUGGUGUGGGAGUUUAUCUCACAAUGGUGCAAGUUAAGCCCAAUAUAUGUUUUGGAACUAAAGGAUUCGACCAAUAUUAACAACCGAAACAAAGGUUCGAGGAAGUGGAGGAAGUCACCAUCUAUGGUGACCCUGAAAGUGAUUUUGGUUAUAUGGAGGAGUCGCAACGAGUCGGUCUUCAAUGGCAAGCAAAUCAUUGUAACAAGGAUAAAGUAAGACAAUAAAGCAUUUGGAUAUUUGUGGUUGAAGAACUAGGCGAAAGCUGGUAACCCAACUUGAGAGAAUUAGUGUAACUUUAUCUUACCAUGGGGAUAUGAGACUAGGAGUAUAUGAAUCUUUUGUGUAUAGUUAGUGUAAUAAAUGUUUAACAGUUCGUUAACCAACAGUAUAUGGAUAAAAUUUCGUUGGUCUUUCAAAAAAAUAUUACGUUAAGUAUCGGGUCAAC